Molecule: long non-coding RNA, 337 nt
Organism: Rhagoletis pomonella (apple maggot)
Lineage: Eukaryota; Metazoa; Arthropoda; Insecta; Diptera; Tephritidae
Exons: 3
Source: RefSeq, a predicted model, not a curated record
UUCUAUUUCUUGGUAAUUCGGUUUGUGAAAUGACUAUUAAUUACAAACACAGCAUCAUCAACGGUGAUUGCAAGAACUACUGCCAUCCCUGCGGUUUUUCCUCUUGGUAAAUGCGUUCUGGUCGUGACCAAUGGUGGUCUCCCAAAUCGGCCGGGAAUAAGGCUAUUGUUGCAGAACAAAACGCCGCAACCACUGCUGUGGUAAAUAUGUUCCAGCAGAACUGCCCACCGCCGUCGGUGUAAUGAUUUCGAUAGCUGAACAAACGCCAUCUCCUGGGCAUUCCCACAGCUUGUCGACACUAGCUAUUAUAUCACGUGUGAAUGCAACUGGGGCUUAA